AUGGCCCAGCCCUGGCUGCAGUGGCAGCCGCCGCUCCUGGCGGCCUCCGCCGCGCCCGGUGCUCCGCCGCAACAGCCGCUGCAGCUGCAGCAGCCACCGCCCGUCAGCUCCGCCGCCCAGUAUGGGAUGCCCUACGACGAGACUGCAACGACCUCGUUCCCAUCAGCGCCGCCAUCCCAGGGCGUCCACAUCCAGCAGAUCAAGUCCCCGCCGUCGCCGUCACUGCUUCCGUCUUGGAUCGCUACCCGCCACGUGUCGGCGGCGGUGAGGCUGCAGGCUGCCGCGCGCGGCCUCCUAGCGUGUCGACGUGUGCGGAAGAUGCGUGGUCUGCAGCUGCCGCUCCUCCAAGUUGCCCUUCGCUGCGCAAAGGACCUCGAUCUCGUCCGUUGCGUCGGGGAUCUUGGGCAUGCGGUUUCCCCCACGGGCGGCGGGCAUGCUGUUUUCCCCGCGGGCAGCGACCUCAAAGUCUGCGACAUCGACAGUUGGGGGGACGCACCCCUCCUCGUCAUUCUCCAUCGCAAUCCCUCCACUCUUCCCUGUGCGGUGCAGACCAAUAGUCGUCCGGCAGGGAGAAGGCAUGGUGUCACCGACAGGAGCGCACCGCGUAGCACCACUGCAUUCCGCCACCGGCCGCCGCGAGGGCGCCUCUGCUGGUCACUCUUGCGACCACUUCCAGGUGGCCAUACACAUACACUCCUUUUGUCCUGGUGGUGUCCAUGGGAUCCAGGUGGCUAUACACGUGCACGUCCGACGUGCGGAUGGUGUCCACUUUUUGUUAAGGGGUCCAAAAUAAAGCGUCCCAGUCCAUUUCAGGUUGAGAAUAAUAAAACAAGCCGAGAUGUAAAAGGUUUGUUUUUUAGGUGUUAG
RNAcentral lists this ribosomal RNA (867 nucleotides) under Triticum aestivum (bread wheat). RNAcentral describes it as "partial small subunit ribosomal RNA". The record is from RNAcentral. Lineage: Eukaryota; Viridiplantae; Streptophyta; Magnoliopsida; Poales; Poaceae.